Long non-coding RNA from Gadus chalcogrammus (walleye pollock), 363 nucleotides. RefSeq lists it as uncharacterized. The record is from RefSeq and is a predicted model, not a curated record. The transcript has 3 exons. NCBI's taxonomy places the organism in Eukaryota, Metazoa, Chordata, Actinopteri, Gadiformes, Gadidae.
CUUAAGGGGCAAAGGUAUCGCAGCUCUCCUGUCGAAGGCUGCCUUGGACUUUUUGGCUGAAGAUGACCUGAAGGCGCACAUUUCUUGCUGGUCCCAUGCCUCUACCGGAAAGGGUGUGAUUUCGCCACUCAAUGGCCUACUGACUGAAUGGUAAAAGAAGCCACGCCUUUAGGGUCUGAAUGAUCUUGACAGUAAAACUUGAUAUGGUGAUAAUGUCUUAAUCACUGUGUAGAAGCAGAAAGCAGUGAGAACGUACAAUGGGUGCCAACCUGCCAGUUGCGUCAAAACUGUAUUUAUUUAUUUAAUUUGUGAGUAAUUGAAACUUGGCAGCAUUUGUAGGCUAUAUUCAAUUAAACCGCAUGU